CCCUUAGAUGUUCUGGGCCGCACGCGUGCUACACUGAGUGGAUCAGCGGGUUAGGUAACACGAAAGUGUAUCCUAAUCUUCAAAUCCGCUCGUGAUGGGGAUUGACGGUUGCAAUUUUCUGUCAUGAACGAGGAAUACCUUGUAAGCGCGGGUCAUCAUCCCGCGCUGAAUACGUCCCUGCCCUUUGUACACACCGCCCGUCGCUCCUACCGAUUGAGUGGUCCGGUGAGGCUUUGGGAUCUGAGCGGAAAGAGCGUUUCGCUGUUUCUGCUCGGAAAACUCAGUCGAACCUUAUCAUUUAGAGGAAGGAGAAGUCGUAACA
RNAcentral lists this ribosomal RNA (322 nucleotides) under uncultured eukaryote. RNAcentral's name for it is "partial 18S ribosomal RNA". It matches the Rfam family "Eukaryotic small subunit ribosomal RNA", at positions 1470 to 1796 of the family's 1831-position model. The record is from RNAcentral.